ACCUAACCUAACCUAACCUAACCUAACCUAACCUAACCCUACUCAAUGUUUGUUUCUAAACCAAUCUUGAAGAAAAAAGUUUUGACGAAAUGUCACAAAGACUCACAGAUAUCGGUGAGUCAAAAAUGGGGGCCAUUAUUCUUACAUCUGUGUAUGAUUACGUGUUUAUAAACAUCUAACAUAUUACUAGAAGAAAAAAAACGUCGAGGGGCAUAGUAGCAUUAGCAUUGUGAAAAAUUG
Molecule: non-coding RNA, 240 nt
Organism: Paramuricea clavata
Lineage: Eukaryota; Metazoa; Cnidaria; Anthozoa; Malacalcyonacea; Plexauridae
Source: the annotation of a GenBank genome assembly